RNAcentral lists this ribosomal RNA (270 nucleotides) under uncultured Oscillibacter sp. RNAcentral's name for it is "partial 16S ribosomal RNA". It matches the Rfam family "Bacterial small subunit ribosomal RNA", at positions 74 to 340 of the family's 1533-position model. The record is from RNAcentral. Lineage: Bacteria; Bacillati; Bacillota; Clostridia; Eubacteriales; Oscillospiraceae.
UUCGUCCAAGUGAAGUAGAGGACAGUGGCGGACGGGUGAGUAACGCGUGAGGAACCUGCCUUUCAGAGGGGGACAACAGUUGGAAACGACUGCUAAUACCGCAUGACACAUUGGGGUCGCAUGGCCUUGAUGUCAAAGAUUUAUCGCUGAAAGAUGGCCUCGCGUCUGAUUAGCUAGUUGGCGGGGUAACGGCCCACCAAGGCGACGAUCAGUAGCCGGACUGAGAGGUUGAUCGGUCCACAUUGGGACUGAGACACGGCCCAGACGUCC